GACGAACGCUGGCGGCGUGCCUAACACAUGCAAGUCGAACGGAGCCGAACGCUGAAUUGAAGGAAGCUUGCUUCUGGAUUUUCUUGUUCUGCUUAGUGGCGGACGGGUGAGUAACGCGUGAGUAACCUGCCUUACAGAGGGGGACAACAGUUGGAAACGACUGCUAAUACCGCAUAACGUGGCGAGAGGGCAUCCUCUUGUCACCAAAGGAGCAAUCCGCUGUAAGAUGGACUCGCGUCCGAUUAGAUAGUUGGUGAGGUAAACGGCCCACCAAGGCGACGAUCAGUAGCCGGACUGAGAGGUUGAACGGCCACAUUGGGACUGAGACACGGCCCACGACUCCUACGGGAGGCAGCAGUGGGGGAGUAUUGCACAAU
This 377-nucleotide ribosomal RNA is filed under the name uncultured bacterium. RNAcentral's name for it is "bacterial SSU rRNA". It matches the Rfam family "Bacterial small subunit ribosomal RNA", at positions 28 to 372 of the family's 1533-position model. The record is from RNAcentral.